This 349-nucleotide ribosomal RNA is filed under the name uncultured bacterium. RNAcentral describes it as "bacterial SSU rRNA". It matches the Rfam family "Bacterial small subunit ribosomal RNA", at positions 1034 to 1383 of the family's 1533-position model. The record is from RNAcentral.
ACAGGUGCUGCAUGGGUGUCGUCACCUCGUGUCGUGAGAUGUUGGGUUAAGUCCCGCAACGAGCGCAACCCUUUUCCUUAUUUACCAGCGGUUUGGCCGGGGACUCUAAGGAUACUGCCAGUGACAAACUGGAGGAAGGCGGGGACGACGUCAAGUCAUCAUGGCCCUUACGACCAGGGCUACACACGUGCUACAAUGGUCGGUACAAAGGGCAGCUACACAGCGAUGUGAUGCGAAUCUCAAAAAGCCUAUCGUACUCCAGAUUGGAGUCUGCAACUCGACUCCAUGAAGUCGGAAUCGCUAGUAAUCGCGGAUCAGAAUGCCCCGGUGAAUACCUUCCCCGGUCUUG